CCCCACUUCUGAAUGAAGAGGAUAAUAAAUGAAUCUAUCUCCUGAAUUGUGCCAUGUGUGAUAUUUUUUGGAAGGGAACAGUUCUUUCCAGCUUUCUAAGAGACCUUUCCCAAUAGUCACAAAACACACUCCCUUGCUAGUUUCUUUUGAGGGAAAAAUCAAGCAGUAUCUAAAACUUCUUAGUUUUUCCUUUUUUUCUUCCCAUAGUUUUUUGGGGAUUUGCUCCCAUUAUUUCAACAUAAGUCCCCUUAUUGAAAACAAAUCUCAGCCCUUAUGGGGAAAAGGGAGGAAUCAACAAAUUUACGAUCAUUUGAAUUUGGCUUCAUGUGUUGGUUUUUCUUUCUUAAGGGGAGAAAGGGGCUGUUUUUAGGUCUGGGUACUGUAAUUUGAUUUCAAUAGACCUUCUUCCCCUCUCAAUCCAUCCUUCACUCCUGAAGUGGAGCAGUCAACAAAUUUACCAUACCCCUAGUCUUGCUUUUUUUUUUUUUUUUUUUUUUUGGAAAAAGGAAGGCUAUUUUUAUUUACCGGAAUAUCCUUUUUGAAACAAACAAAACCCAUCCUUCCCUUUUCUAGAAUAAGGUAAUCACAGAAUCUUAACAAAGGUUGAAGCUCCUAAGCACAUUUUUGAGUGGGGGAGGGGGAAGCGUAGCUCCUAGUUUUUCCAACAGACUUCUCCUUAACCCAUCCCACUUACUCCAAUAAAAACAAAACCCACCCCCUCGUUCCUCUGCAAGGGGAAGCCAAUAAAUUUCCCAUUUCCAAAGGUUUUCUGAGAGGUGUUUUUAGAGGUCCCCUUCUCCCAUUUUCUCCCAAUAAAGAUAAAACCCACUCCUCACCGGGAAGAGGAGACGAGGAAAUAUAUUUCCUCUGUGCGGUAUUUUUCUCAAGGGGGAAGAGGAAAAGGGACCUUUUUCUCGCUCUCCCCCUCUCACAAAGUCAUCACCCACUCUGCUCCUGCCAGUAAUUUUAGCCCCCGUCCUUUUCUCUGAGGCGGUUUUUGGGGGGGGAGAGGAGGGAGUUGUUUGCUUUCUCACAGAGCACCCCUCAGAGCGCCUCCGCCACCGACCCUAAUUAAAACCCAGCCGACCCCUCGCUGCGGGGGUGGUGCAGUCAACAAUCUUCUCUGUCCCGAGUUGCCCUCUAAGGAGGGAUGCUUUUUUUUGGGGGGGAGUUGAAGGGACGCGCGCCCCCCCAGAGGCGGAGGAGCAGUUGGGCACUAGGGGGUUGGACACAGCUGGCGACAGAGGAGGCGAGAACGUGAGAGAAUAUGUGUGUGUGCGGGGGAGGGAGGGUGUUUAAGGAGGUGAGCGCACGAGGUCAGCCCCGCCCCCUCCCGAGGGGGAGGGAGGAAUGGAACUGAAUGCAGCCAGAAGGGAGGGGCCCCUUCCCCCCUCCCGGUAGACAGCUCCGGGGCUCGUGCUGCGGCGCGUGCGCGCUCCCUAGCUCCAGCCCGCAAGCGCGAGCCCUGGAGGCACCGGCUCUGCCCGUUCUUCUCCCCUACGUCGCCUUUCUUCUUUCCUUUUCUCUUUUCUCCACUCGCUCGGUUUCUA
Molecule: long non-coding RNA, 1550 nt
Organism: Sarcophilus harrisii (Tasmanian devil)
Lineage: Eukaryota; Metazoa; Chordata; Mammalia; Dasyuromorphia; Dasyuridae
Source: Ensembl